AAACUAUCGCGUUUGGCAUUUUCUGAUAUUUUUUGCGUAAUCGUAUUUAGAAAAAUAUUAAAUUACGAUAUAUGUAGCGGCUUAGAUCGCUACCUCCCUGCUCAAGGUUACAGCGCGUCGCGCGCGCAAGUGACAAUAAUAGCACAUUCCACAGCGGGACAUCAAUAACACACAUCAAUACAUACAUAAAAAUUUGGCACGCUACUGUUUAUAUACAUACAUGAGACUCGUCGUAGUCUUAUCAUUCGAGCGGUAACUCUCGAGCAGGAAGUAGUGCGAUCUAUAUAUAUAUAUAUAUAUAAUAAUGCCGCAAUAAAUGGCGCAAUAUUCGGGUGCCGAGUGGAUCCUAUUCCCAUCGCAAUAUAUCAUAAAGUAUGUUUGUAAUUAAUAUCAGGAGUGUCAUGCGAUCGUCUAUAUCUUGCUGAUUAGUGCGCGCGCGAUCAUAAUUAAUUUCGCGAGUAAGUUUUCGUACGUGUAUUAUAAAGGACUAUCGAAAGAUAAGACAGAGGAAAGAGGAGGAGGCACUCAAGCGAUGAUGGAGAAACCGAAUUGAGUAUGAAACAUCUGCCGAUAAUUUGACAACUUGGAAGGACGUACCAAACGGCCAGUAUCGACAGCAGUUAUCAAAGCAGCGUUCCAGACGCGGAAUCGGGGAGAUUAUCGGGCGUUUCUUGGUGGAAUUCCUCCUUCUACCAUCAACCGCAUGCGUCCCUGGAAAAACGAGACAGCCGCCGGUCAUCCUGGUUACGGCGUUGGCCGCCGGGUCGACCGGACCCCGACGUCGACGGUGUAGCCUGUGCGUGCACUUGCCGCGAGGGAAAGGUGGAUGGCCGCGACCUUGAUGCGCGUGGUUCUCGCGUGCCCGAACCCUCACGAAGCACGACGAGGACGUCCGAAGCCGAGGAUCAACGUUUGUGUAGAUAUGGAGAACUUAUUUUUCUCGACAUUGGCAACAUUGAUUCUGGAACUUUGCGCUCUCGCCGCGUGAGAUCACCAAGCUCGAAUUCAAAGAUCGGCGAACAAGGUCGUACAUAGAAAGGAGUAUAUUAGAGGAUGUGCGGACGGUAGCUUGGACUCAAGGACGCAAUUAUCUGCGAGAAAUCACACGAAUUUCCGAAAGAAACAUCAACUUCAAAUUAUGUAAUAAAAUUUGGAAGAAUAUCCAAGAGAGAUUCUGAAAUAUCUUGCACUAUGAAAAGUAUAAUGCAUUAUGCAACAUUGCUAAAUGCUAAUUAUCAGCAAAAUUCUAAUUGACUGACAAAACGACUGGAUAUGGCACAUUUGAUUGAGGACAAAUCGCACGGUUUAACGAUCGAUUGAAGGCUUCGAAUUACUCAAUGAAAACACGUCGACAGCAGUUACUCGAAAUAAAAGAGUUUCACAAUGUGAAAGUUGCCCAAUUUGGAGAACAAAUUCUGCGUAUGACGGAAUUUACAAUUAAAUUGUAUUAAAAAAAUCAAAAGAGAACGAAUGAUAUAUUUCCACUUAUAAUUGGUCAGAUUAUUCACAUUGUGUCCGAGAAAAAAAUGGGUCAUGAAGCAUCGCAGCAUCAGCUUUUAUCAAACGCUCGUACACCUGACCGAUGAACGGUGAUCAGGUAGCGCAAGGCUACCUGACAAGAAUGAACACGUAGGGCAUGCGGGCGCGAGUAAGGGCGGCGAGUAAGGGAGGAUAGGAUCGGCGGAGGGUGCGUUCGCCGGCGCUGCGCUGGCUGGAGAACAGGUACUCGUCGUAGGCGUCGUACGUUCAUUGAUAAGCGUAUUACACCCCGCGCCUUAAACUCGCGUGACGUCACUGGACGCAUGCGUGGCCUCUCAUCGAAUCCUGAAUCGCAAUGACAGCCAUUGGCG
Formica exsecta is the source of this 1850-nucleotide long non-coding RNA. RefSeq lists it as uncharacterized. The transcript is spliced from 7 exons. NCBI's taxonomy places the organism in Eukaryota, Metazoa, Arthropoda, Insecta, Hymenoptera, Formicidae. The record is from RefSeq and is a predicted model, not a curated record.